UUCGCAAUGCCCGAAAGGGUGACAAUGCGACGCCGUGUGUGUGAUGAAGGUCUUCGGAUUGUAAAACACUGUCGGCCGGAAGGAAUCUCCGGAGGUUUAACAAAUCUUCGGGGUGACAGUACCGGCAAAGGAAGCCACGGCUAACUCCGUGCCAGCAGCCGCGGUAAUUCAGAGGUGGCAAGCGUUGUUCGGAACCACUGGGCGUAAAGGGCGCGUAGGCGGUAGCGUAAGUUCGUGGUGAAAUCCCCCGGCUUAACCGGGGAAUGGCUGCGAAUACUGCGUUGCUUGAGGAUGAGAGGGGAGAGUGGAACUUCUGGUGGAGCGGUGAAAUGCGUAGAUAUCAGAAGGAACGCCGGAGGCGAAAGCGACUCUCUGGAUCAUCCCUGACGCUGAGGCGCGAAAGCUAGGGGAGCAAAAGGGAUUAGAUACCCCUGUAGUCCUAGCCGUAAACGAUGGGCACUAAGUAGAGGGGUUUU
RNAcentral lists this ribosomal RNA (476 nucleotides) under uncultured anaerobic ammonium-oxidizing bacterium. Its description in RNAcentral is "bacterial SSU rRNA". It matches the Rfam family "Bacterial small subunit ribosomal RNA", at positions 365 to 832 of the family's 1533-position model. The record is from RNAcentral.